UCACAGAAACAUAACCUCCUCCUCCUCAUCAGAUCACGGCUAUUCCUGACUAGCGUUUUCUGGUCGACCUUCUCACUUGUUCUGUCUGACUUUUUAAAAAUCAUUUUGUUAGUUCUGGUGUGGUGUCAUUAGGAUAAUUGUUUCGCUCUGUUCUUUCUGCUUAAUUAUUAAUGAUGCUGAGGAAGUCAAAAGAUAGCUUCAAUAAUGUAUUUUUCAGCUGUAGAUUCAUCCACUGACAGGAUCUACACAUCGCUACAGCACACCUCCCGUGUUCUGCGCUGGGAAGUUAGAAGAAACUCAGGCUACUUGGAGCAUCCAGGCAUGAACACAUUGGUACCAGUAAACUUAAACCUAAUACAUGCUUUGGUCUCCUGCCUUCAUUGCCUACCUUGAAUCACAGAAUUUCCAAAGUAUGUCACAGGACCAUUUAUUUCUAACCUCAAAGUUAAACAUUUUCUGUGA
Molecule: long non-coding RNA, 462 nt
Organism: Centrocercus urophasianus (Greater sage-grouse)
Lineage: Eukaryota; Metazoa; Chordata; Aves; Galliformes; Phasianidae
Exons: 3
Source: RefSeq, a predicted model, not a curated record